GAAGUGGCGGACGGGUGAAGUAAAUGUAGAGAAUCUCGUCCUUAAGCGGGGGACAACAGUUUGGAAACGACUGCUAAUACCCCAUAUGCGCGUAGCUGAGAUGCUAUUCGUGAAAACUCCGGUGCUUAAGGAUGAGUCUGCAUCUGAUUAGCUAGUAGGCGGUGUAAUGGACCACCUAGGCGACGAUCAGUAGCUGGUUUGAGAGGAUGAUCAGCCACAAUGGGACUGAGACACGGCCCAUACUCCUACGGGAGGCAGCAGUAGGGGAUUUUGCGCAAUGGGGGAAACCCUGACGCAAGCAACGCCGCGUGAUUGAAGAAGCCCUUCGGGGUGUAAAGAUCUGUCAGUGGGGACGAAACUUGACGGUACCCACAGAGGAAGCAUCGGCUAACUCCGUGCCAGCCGCAGC
This 409-nucleotide ribosomal RNA is filed under the name uncultured bacterium. RNAcentral describes it as "bacterial SSU rRNA". It matches the Rfam family "Bacterial small subunit ribosomal RNA", at positions 92 to 518 of the family's 1533-position model. The record is from RNAcentral.